GGUGAGUAACACGUGGAUAACCUACCAUAAGACUGGGAUAACUUCGGGAAACCGGAGCUAAUACCGGAUAAUAUUUUGAACCGCAUGGUUCAAAAGUGAAAGACGGUCUUGCUGUCACUUAUAGAUGGAUCCGCGCUGCAUUAGCUAGUUGGUAAGGUAACGGCUUACCAAGGCAACGAUGCAUAGCCGACCUGAGAGGGUGAUCGGCCACACUGGAACUGAGACACGGUCCAG
RNAcentral lists this ribosomal RNA (234 nucleotides) under uncultured Staphylococcus sp. RNAcentral describes it as "partial 16S ribosomal RNA". It matches the Rfam family "Bacterial small subunit ribosomal RNA", at positions 105 to 334 of the family's 1533-position model. The record is from RNAcentral. Lineage: Bacteria; Bacillati; Bacillota; Bacilli; Caryophanales; Staphylococcaceae.